CCUACGGGAGGCAGCAGUGGGGGAUAUUGCACAAUGGGGGGAACCCUGAUGCAGCGACGCCGCGUGAAGGAAGAAGUAUCUCGGUAUGUAAACUUCUAUCAGCAGGGAAGAAAAGGACGGUACCUGACUAAGAAGCCCCGGCUAACUACGUGCCAGCAGCCGCGGUAAUAUGUAGGGGGCAAGCGUUAUCCGGAUUUACUGGGGGUAAAGGGAGCGUAGGCGGCAGGGCAAGUCAGAAGUGAAAGCCCGGGGCUCAACUCCGGGACGGCUUUUGAAACUGUACAGCUUGAUUGCAGGAGAGGCAAGUGGCAUUCCUCGUGUAGCUGUUACAUGCGUAGCUAUUAGGCGGCACACCAGUGGCGACGGCUGCUUGCUGGACUGUACCUGACGCUGAGGCUCGACAGCGUGGGGAGCAAACAGGAUUAGCUACCCGAGUAGUC
RNAcentral lists this ribosomal RNA (440 nucleotides) under uncultured bacterium. Its description in RNAcentral is "partial 16S ribosomal RNA". It matches the Rfam family "Bacterial small subunit ribosomal RNA", at positions 338 to 795 of the family's 1533-position model. The record is from RNAcentral.